UACGGAGGAUGCAAGCGUUAUCCGGAUUUAUUGGGUUUAAAGGGUGCGCAGGCGGGAGAUUAAGUCGGCGGUGAAAUUUUGCAGCUCAACUGUAAAAGUGCCUUCGAAACUGGUUUCCUUAAGUGUGGAUGAAGUAGGCGGAAUUUGUGGUGUAGCGGUGAAAUGCAUAGAUAUCACGAGGAACUCCGAUUGCGCAGGCAGCUUACUAAACCAUAACUGACGCUCAGGCACGAAGGCGUGGGGAUCAAACAGGAUUAGAUACCCCUGUA
Molecule: ribosomal RNA, 269 nt
Filed under: uncultured prokaryote
Description: partial 16S ribosomal RNA
Rfam family: Bacterial small subunit ribosomal RNA
Source: RNAcentral